GACGAACGCUGGCGGCGUGCCUAAUACAUGCAAGUCGAACGCAGUGGGGACGGGUGAGUAACACGUGGGUAACCUCCCAUCAGAGGGGAUAACACUUGGAAACAGGUGCUAAACCGAUACUGAUUGAUGGACCCGCUGUGCAUUAGCUAGUGGGUGGGGUAACGGCUCACCAAGGCCACGAUGCAUAGCCGACCUGAGAGGGGGAUCGGCAACACGGGGACUGAGACACGGCCCGACCUCCAACGGGAGGAAGCAGUAGGGAAUCUUCGGAAAGGGACGAAAGUCUGACCGAGAAACGCCGCGUGAGUGAAGAAGGUUUUCGGAUCGAAAAACUCUGUUGUUAGAGAAGCGGUAUCUAACCAGAAAGCCACGGCUAACUACGUGCCAGCAGCCGCGGUAAUUC
Molecule: ribosomal RNA, 403 nt
Filed under: uncultured bacterium
Lineage: Bacteria
Description: partial 16S ribosomal RNA
Rfam family: Bacterial small subunit ribosomal RNA
Source: RNAcentral